Molecule: non-coding RNA, 874 nt
Organism: Osmia lignaria (orchard mason bee)
Lineage: Eukaryota; Metazoa; Arthropoda; Insecta; Hymenoptera; Megachilidae
Source: RefSeq, a predicted model, not a curated record
UCUCUGGCUCGUUCCACGCGUGAUCGUUGGACAUGGGAAACAAAGCGGCACGGUGUACGGGCCGCGCGAACGGUGGCGGCCAAUGUUUUCGAAGAAAUCGUGGAGGAGAGACGGAGAUGCGGACGGACGUGGACGGUUAACCGGCAAAUCGGUACCUGGCCGUUUAAGAGAAGUACACCUGGCGUAGGUGGAUGUAGGUGCGAAUGCCACGACAGAGGAGUUGGUGGCCUUGAUGACAACAGAAGUAUCCUUUCCAAGCUAGGGUCAUCCUGUGGGCCUCGAACUGUCAACGACCCGUACACGCCGUCCGCUUGCUGUGAAACUAAUAAUACAACAUCAUUAUAAUACUCGGACCACUUUAAUGAUUAAUUGAAAACUUUGUAUGUAGUUGAUUAUUUCGCAUUUACCGAAGAACGAUAACUGCCCGAAUUAAUCCUUGAACAGCGGAGUCUGGUCAAUCGUGACCCAAACUUAAAUACAUCAUUUUUAAACGAAAGGGUUUCAUAUACUGGAAGGAUAAUUUUCAAAGAAACAGUGUAAAAUUUACAAAAUUAAAUUAAUUAAUUAAUUAAUUAGCGCUCUCUCCAUGGUCCGCCGUUCGAGAAUUAUAAAAUUACACUUAGUAAGUGAAAUUGGGUCGCGAAAAAUAUUAAAUAAGAUUUUAUGGUAUUGAAAAGCAUACAAACGAUUACAAAUUUGUAACUGUAUACUAUUUUAUUUAUAAGUUUGAUUUUUAUCAAUGCUAGUAAGCGGCCGUAUUCUUGCAACUUUAUUGAUCCGCUCAAUCUUGCUUUAUUUGAUUGAUUCGUAGAUCAGUACGAUUUUCUAAAAGAUCGAUUAUCUAAUUAAAAAUAAAUAUAUAUGUUUCAUAAAA